AUGAACUUCUAUAAAAGGGAAGCUGGAAGGUUGGUGGCCAAGUGUUAAUUUCCUGUGUGACCAGGUGUGUGUUGGGCCCACGCUGUUUGCUGGCUGUGGCAGGUUUGGAGGGAAACCGUUUUAAAUCGAUCCUCUUAAAUACGUCUGUGCUGACGUGGUAUUUUUAUACAGGGCCGCAUUGUUAAUGACGUUCCGGUGGUAGCGUUACCUGACAGUGUGGCUGUUCGACGCUGCAGGGCUGCACCAGAUCUGUUACAUCAAGUUUGACUUUAGAGUGCUGCUUUAUGCUACAGAAAUGCUGGACUGCUGUGAUGGAGAGAAAAAAACAAAUUUUUCCCAAGACGAAAGUGACAACUGAAAAGAGACUGAGGGAGUGU
Gambusia affinis (western mosquitofish) is the source of this 377-nucleotide long non-coding RNA. RefSeq lists it as uncharacterized. The transcript is spliced from 3 exons. Lineage: Eukaryota; Metazoa; Chordata; Actinopteri; Cyprinodontiformes; Poeciliidae. The record is from RefSeq and is a predicted model, not a curated record.